This is an RNA transcript of Sphaeramia orbicularis (orbiculate cardinalfish), 3457 nucleotides long. It is a transcript of the gene named BCL2 interacting protein like, with no coding region annotated. The record is from RefSeq and is a predicted model, not a curated record. The transcript has 11 exons. NCBI's taxonomy places the organism in Eukaryota, Metazoa, Chordata, Actinopteri, Kurtiformes, Apogonidae.
GUCACACACACACACACACAUCCCAUCAGUGCCAGUGUAUACAGUGCAAUGUACAAAAUAGUGCAAUUAAAAAAAUGUCUAUACUUUAGUGGUUGAGUUCAUUGUCAAAGUUAAUUUCCGCUAACAGUUGUGUGAUGAUGAAUGAGAGGUGACCAAGUUUUUUCAAAGAAUGUGAGUUUAUCCCUAAGAGUAUAUCUAAUUCUUUCUACGUGGAAUGUGUUAGUAAGAUCACUAAGCUACAUCUUUGUGGUGGGUACUUCUUUCUUUUCUUUCUUUUCCAAUGCACAUUUACAAUAAGACUGUGAAAGAGGAAACAUUGCUGGAAGUUGUUUAGUUUUUUAACAUCAUCUGAAAUUCCCAGAGUAAUAAUGGGUGGUUUAGGUUCUAACUGUAUGUGAAGUAUUUCAAAUGGAUUUUUCAAAGUCUCAUGUUUGGAGAAAGUUUGGGAACCCCUGGUCUAAAGAACUUCCUCCUCUAAACCUCUUUCAUAUCUGACGCACGCUCUGAGUUCUGGAAACACAGAGACCUGCUGGGGGAAACCUCUCUGUCAAAUGGUGGUUAUGGUUUUUCUCACCUGGACCCUGAAGGCACCACAGAAGUAUCAUACCCAACCCUGAGCAGAACCUGAUCUUGUUCUGCUGUUACCUGAACAUACGUACAGGUGUACAGGUGUACAGGUGUGUCAGAUUCUGCUUCAGUCACAACAAACACAGGAACAAUGAAGCCCCACCCUGCCUUACCUGCCGCAAGUGUGGUUACCGUGACAACAAUCAGAGCAGCAGAGCAGGUCUGUUCAGUCCCUUCUGAUCCAGAUUUUAACUGUAACAAUGAGACACUCGAUGAAAAACUGACAGAAGAGGAAAACCAGGAAGAAGUUUAAACUAAUAGAAGAAGUGAAUGGAUUUUGAAAGAGAAACAAAGGAUUUAAAACAGAGGAGGAACUAACACAGUACUAAUACUUCAGUACAGUCCGUCAGUGCAGUUGGCAGGGCUCCUACAGGGGCCGUGGGGGCCCAAAACAUCCAGGACAUGGAGCUGAGGGAGGAGUGGCAGGACGACGGCUUCCCCAGGCCUCUCCCGGAGGAUUGUGGGAAUCCAGAAGAGGUUGAAAGUCCAACAAAUGGAGGCCGACCAGCCCCGCCUACCACUCUGGCCCUGUCAGGUACAGUCGUGGGUGGAGCUAAGAAGCGUCUGGUGGCGCCUACAAUGAACUUGACGCUGUGUAGGCGGGACUCUCAUGACCCGAGUUCUGACGGUUUCUCAGCCGCCGCUCUCUCUGGGACGGCUGAGGAUGCCAUUUCACUGGACAUCAACCUGGAGGCGCUAGAGACGCCAUCCGACAGCGAGACGGGGACGCUGCCUGAUGGGACUGAGCUCGAGUGGGAAGAUGACCUUCCCCGUGUGGCAAGAAGUGGAUCUGGGGCCAGGGCUGAGGCUGUGGUCAAAGAUCCUGGUUUAGAGGAUCUGGAUCAGGAACUGGACCAGGUAGACAGCAAGGGGCGCCGAUGGAGAAGGUUCUGCAUCAACGGACACGAGUUCCACGUGGACAUGAGCGUCCUGGAACCGUACCUGCAGGUUCUGUCGCACGGAGGUUAUUAUGGCGAUGGGAUGAACGCCAUCAUCCUGUUUACUUCCUGUUACCUGCCAGAAAACACAGUGGAGGACUAUGAAUAUGUUAUGGACAACCUGUUCAGGUACAUCGUAGGCACGUUGGACCUGAUGGUUUCGGAGAACUACCUGCUGGUCUACCUGUGUGCUAUGGCUCCUAGAAACAAACUACCAGCCAUCAGGUGGCUCCACCAGUGCUACACCUCCAUCGACAGACGGUUGAAGAAGGACCUGAAAGGGCUGCUGGUGGUUCAUCCAGCCUGGUAUAUCCGAGCCCUCAUCACUGUGGUCAAACCCUUCAUCAGUGAGAAGUUCAGCAGGAAGAUCCGCUUCGUCCAGACUCUGCAGGAGUUAUCAGAGUUCAUCCCCACAGACCGACUGCAGAUCCCUGACGCCAUCAGGCAGUUUGAUGAGAAGCUGAACAGAUGACGUUCACAGACUCUGAGGACAAACAGUAAAGGUCAAAGGUCAGCAGGCUGGUUGAGGAUCUGACCUUUGACCUGUCACCUGUACAAAAACAGACUGGUUUAUUUAUUUGUUCUCAAGGUUGAAGAAGUUAAAGACUUUUCGGUCCCUCUGCUCCUGGAUGGGGGGGGCGGAGCCAGAGGGGCGAGGCCAGGUGUCUCAGGUGUGGGUCUCUACCUGUGUCUGUAAAUACAAACAGGUUUCAUUUCCUGCUGAAUCAUGUGAUGAUGAGCUCAGGGAGCAUCUUCAUCUGUCAAACAGCAGCGCCGGGUGGUCAUCAGAGGAACUGCAGUUGAAUGCAGCCUGCUGGUUGGACGCUUUACGCACAUUCUGAAAUAAAAGCACUGAUCAAACAUUUACUACAUUUUUAUGUGUGUCUUUAAUGUGUCACCUAGUCUUAAAGUGUAUAAAAGAAGAGGAUUCAACUCUGCCUGCACCAAACAUUCUUACCAUCCAGAUCUGCUCUUACCCAGGUGUACUGGAUGUUGAAUCUCACCUGAUCCUAAAUGACACAGGUAGGGUCAAUUGUGUUUAAUUGGUAUAUAUGAAGCCCACUAAACACCAUGAAAGGGCAGGUAUUGUGCCGUGUGCAAACAGCUGACUUUGGGUCAGCAUUUUCAUAGAUGACACCAAAAAAAGGUAGUAAGAGAAAAAAAAAUUAGCAGUGGUGAAAUUGAAGUAUUUUUAAAUCAAAUCAAACCAAGGAAUCAUGUCAUCUUACAGUGUCAGUACUGACGUUCAUCACAAAUGAGAAACAAUGCUUUUAUUACUGUUCUGCUGCUGUUUGCUGGGUCAGUAUAUAAUUGAGGGACUUUUUGAGUUCCCUUUACAGGAGAACAUAGUUGACAGGCAUAUUUGCCAUUUUUGCUGGUUUCAAACCUAAAAUCAACAUAACCACAACACCACAGGGCAUUUUUACAGAAAGAUUCUUCUAAAUAUAUCUACAAUUGAGUAAAAUUGAAAUUGAAUUACUCAUAUGCAUAGAGGGCAUCCCAAUAGAAAUAGUGUCAGAACACACAUUUUUAGGAAUAAUUAUUGACAGUAAAUUAAGCUGAAAUCACACAUCAGGUUCAUACAAACCAAAGUAUCAAAAAGCAUUUCUAUCAUUAACAAAGCUAAACAUGUACUGGAUAAUAAGUCACGCUAUAUAUUGUUUUGUUGUCUGGUCCUGCCAUACCUAAUCUACUGUAUAGAAUUAUGAGGCAAUAACUAUAAAAUUACACUAUACCCUCUCUUCAUAUUACAAAAACGUGCAGUGAGAGUCUUGUAUAAAGUCGGUUAUUUGGAUCAUACUCAUUUAUUAUUCUUGCAGUCAAAACUAUUAAAACUCUAUGAUUUGGUAAAUUUUUACACAGCUCAACUUCUAUAUAAAGCCAAUAAAAAU